RNAcentral lists this long non-coding RNA (378 nucleotides) under Gallus gallus (chicken). RNAcentral's name for it is "lncRNA (ENSGALG00010015783.1)". Lineage: Eukaryota; Metazoa; Chordata; Aves; Galliformes; Phasianidae. The record is from RNAcentral.
UUUAUAGCUAAAGCUUUUAUUGAUCCUUGGACAGGAAUGUAGGCAUGACAUUUUCACUGACCCUAGAACAAGAAUGUGCACUAUGUAUAAGAAGCAUGUGCAAUAGUUGUCAAGAUGUCACAUCUAGAAAACACUGUUUACGUUAUCAGCAAGGUGUAUCUUGAAGGAUGUUGAAGAAAAAAAGGAACUGCCCUUUGGAAAAUCAGCCAGCCACUGUACAAAAGUCACAUAACUUUUGAUUGCAGAAAAUCUGGGAAUUUCUGGGAUCAUUGCCAAAGGACCUCUGAGAACCAUUUGGGGAAGUCUUUGAGGCACUUGAUGGUCCCUGGUGCCCCAGGAACAGGAGAAAGGAUCAACUGUCCCAGUUCUGGAGUGGUG